AAAUUGAAGAGUUUGAUCAUGGCUCAGAUUGAACGCUGGCGGCAGGCCUAACACAUGCAAGUCGAACGGUAACAGGAAGCAGCUUGCUGCUUCGCUGACGAGUGGCGGACGGGUGAGUAAUGUCUGGGGAUCUGCCUGAUGGAGGGGGAUAACUACUGGAAACGGUAGCUAAUACCGCAUAACGUCGCAAGACCAAAGAGGGGGACCUUCGGGCCUCUUGCCAUCAGAUGAACCCAGAUGGGAUUAGCUAGUAGGUGGGGUAACGGCUCACCUAGGCGACGAUCCCUAGCUGGUCUGAGAGGAUGACCAGCCACACUGGAACUGAGACACGGUCCAGACUCCUACGGGAGGCAGCAGUGGGGAAUAUUGCACAAUGGGCGCAAGCCUGAUGCAGCCAUGCCGCGUGUAUGAAGAAGGCCUUCGGGUUGUAAAGUACUUUCAGCGGGGAGGAAGGCGAU
RNAcentral lists this ribosomal RNA (458 nucleotides) under Atlantibacter hermannii. Its description in RNAcentral is "bacterial SSU rRNA". It matches the Rfam family "Bacterial small subunit ribosomal RNA", at positions 1 to 455 of the family's 1533-position model. The record is from RNAcentral. Lineage: Bacteria; Pseudomonadati; Pseudomonadota; Gammaproteobacteria; Enterobacterales; Enterobacteriaceae.